This is an RNA transcript of Hevea brasiliensis (rubber tree), 625 nucleotides long. RefSeq lists it as uncharacterized. NCBI's taxonomy places the organism in Eukaryota, Viridiplantae, Streptophyta, Magnoliopsida, Malpighiales, Euphorbiaceae. The transcript has 2 exons. The record is from RefSeq and is a predicted model, not a curated record.
AUAUAUAUAUAUAUAUAUAUAUAUAUAUUCUUAAUAAAUUUCUUCAUUAUUAAAAUAAAGGGGAAUUGUGGUUUUACAUAAAUUCAAGGUGAUAGAAUCUUUGCAUUAUUCUUAUUAUAUGAGUCUUUCUUGAUAUAUACCACCAGAUAAAGCAUUCAAUAAUCAAGAAAGUUUCAGUUCUGUCUUCCAAUGCUCAUAAUGCUUUAACUUUGAAAAUUUUAUUGCUGAGAUUCUUGAGGACUUACAAGGACUUUCAUUAUAUUGGAAAUGGAAAAAAUGAAUGCAGAUGUGCGCAGAGAAUGGGGCAGGACCAACAAGGGAUGAGUUGGAUUUCGAGUUCUUGGGGAAUAGAACUAGACAGCUCUAUUUGAUACAGACAAAUGUAUACAAACAUGGGACUGCCGGGCGUGAGAUGAGGCACACGCUUUUGCUCAAUCCUAAUAGAGUUCCUAUAAGAGUGCACAAGAACAAUGGAUAGACGAACAAUUUCUUCCUCCGAGAAGCCCAUGUACCUAUUCUCAAGCAAUGGGAAUCCAUAAGUGGGUACAAGAGAUGAGCAAGCGAAAACAUACUGUAAAAAUCAAAAUUUCUUGCAUUAAUAAUAUUUUUUGAUGAUGGAAUUUUA